GAUGAACGCUGGCGGCGUGCCUAAUACAUGCAAGUCGAGCGAACUUUUGGGAGCUUGCUCCCUAUAGUUAGCGGCGGACGGGUGAGUAACACGUGUGUAACCUGCCUGUAAGACUGGGAUAACUUCUGGAAACCGGAGCUAAUACCGGAUAACAUUUAAUACCACAUGUCCUUCAAUUAAAAGGUGGCUUUUAGCUACCACUUACAGAUGGACCCGCGGCGCAUUAGCUAGUUGGUGAGGUAACGGCUCACCAAGGCGACGAUGCGUAGCCGACCUGAGAGGGUGAACGGCCACACUGGGACUGAGACACGGCCCAGAAUCCUACGGGAGGCAGCAGGAGGGAAUCCUUCGCAAUGGACGAAAGGCUGAAGGAGAAAAGCCGGGUGAGGGAAGAAGGGCUUCGGGUCGGAAAGAUCUGUUGAUAGGGAAGAAAAAGAAGCGUUCGAAUAGGGCGGUACCUUGACGGUACCUAACCAGAAAGCCACGGCUAACUACGUG
This 498-nucleotide ribosomal RNA is filed under the name uncultured bacterium. Its description in RNAcentral is "partial 16S ribosomal RNA". It matches the Rfam family "Bacterial small subunit ribosomal RNA", at positions 28 to 507 of the family's 1533-position model. The record is from RNAcentral.